Molecule: non-coding RNA, 171 nt
Organism: Camelina sativa (false flax)
Lineage: Eukaryota; Viridiplantae; Streptophyta; Magnoliopsida; Brassicales; Brassicaceae
Source: RefSeq, a predicted model, not a curated record
ACGACUUUCUCUCCUAUAAUUCUCGAGUUCUUCGUCUGCAUCAUCUUUUCAUCUUCUUCAAUAGCAAAUCGUCGUCUUUGCAUGUCAUCGGAGCAGGAGGACCAGAUCCACCAACAUAGCAAAUCAAGUUUUCCACCUUGUAGAUCUUCUCAUCCGAUGGCCAGAUCCCAA